CUUCCAUCAGGGCAAACCACCGGCGACGGUGGGGCGCAAAGCCGCGGAUCUUUGGCCGUCGUAGGGGCUUGAUUCAUCAAGCCCGGAUUUCGGUCUCAAGACAGCCGGGCUGCCGAG
This 117-nucleotide non-coding RNA is filed under the name Nitrospirota bacterium. RNAcentral describes it as "Nitrospirae bacterium c-di-GMP sequence". It matches the Rfam family "c-di-GMP-I riboswitch aptamer". Rfam says of the family: GEMM was predicted in a large-scale screen for bacterial structured RNA regulatory elements. Lineage: Bacteria; Pseudomonadati; Nitrospirota. The record is from RNAcentral.